Molecule: transfer-messenger RNA, 350 nt
Filed under: Oscillospiraceae
Lineage: Bacteria; Bacillati; Bacillota; Clostridia; Eubacteriales
Also listed under: 1 other name
Description: CAG-170 sp016296635 Standard tmRNA
Rfam family: transfer-messenger RNA
About the family: Bacterial tmRNA, also known as 10Sa RNA or SsrA, is named for its dual tRNA and mRNA-like properties. Its role is to liberate the mRNA from a stalled ribosome.
Source: RNAcentral
GGGGCUGCACUGGUUUCGACGGGGGCAGUGAGGCCGGAUAAGCGGGCAGAGGCGCCUGGCCUCUAUAAAACGGGCAAUUUGUCUAAAUUAACUGACAACAAUAACUACGCACUGGCUGCCUAAUUAAAGGCGCCCGUCCUACCCGGAAGGACCACGAGCCGGGAUAGGGCGUGAUUGAGUGGUGACCGUGAGUACGCUAAGCUUUGCGCGUGCCAUGCAUCAUGAAGCUACCAAGUCUGUAAGCGUGUUUGUUCGCGUGCAGGCGAGGGAAUGUAAAUAACAAACUGUGCCCGAAGAAAGUCUUGUCAAGUUGCUUUCGGACAGGGGUUCGAUUCCCCUCAGCUCCACCA